GAGAGCUAUUGUUACGGGAUGAUUAUAGAUGCAGCAGAAGUAGAUGAGAUUACCCAGAGAUUUCUUUUGUUCCCAACCUGUUUUCUGAACCAUCAUAGAAAGAUUAUGCUGUAUUGGGAGGCUGCUCUAUGAAAAGCCUUGGACUUCAUCUGAAGACUUGGUUCAAAUCCCAGUUCUGGAUCUCUGUUUCUCCUUCAUCAAUAGAAGACUUAAUUAAUGCUAGACAUUUGGGAUUUUGGAAGCAGAGAAGAUGGAAACUUAGCCAAUUUUUUUAAAAUGCUUUUUGUUUUACAAAAAAAGAGAAGAAAGCCCAUAAGAAAACUGCAGAAA
Molecule: long non-coding RNA, 330 nt
Organism: Equus quagga
Lineage: Eukaryota; Metazoa; Chordata; Mammalia; Perissodactyla; Equidae
Exons: 3
Source: RefSeq, a predicted model, not a curated record